Molecule: long non-coding RNA, 231 nt
Filed under: Prunus persica (peach)
Lineage: Eukaryota; Viridiplantae; Streptophyta; Magnoliopsida; Rosales; Rosaceae
Description: long non-coding RNA (PPER_LNC006976)
Source: RNAcentral
CUGAUUGCUAUUCUGAAAGAUUUUGAGUGUUUUUUUUUUUGAGAUGUUGCGUCUGAUUUUGGAGAGAGAGUCCACUUUUUCUGAAGUAUACCUUUAUUUAUAGAUGCGAAAGGAGCCUAUAAUGAUGGAAACUGCGACAACACCUUUGGCUUGUGGUUCAAGGUUAGUUGCUGGUUCGUUGAUCUUAACCGAUUCAUAGAAGGAAUGAUGGAAGGCUUCUGGCAGGGACCG